AUUGGACGCUGGCGGCAGGCCUAACACAUGCAAGUCGAGCGAGCGGAGGACGGGUGAGUAAUGUAUGGGGACUGCCCGAUAGAGGGGGAUAACUACUGGAAACGGUAGCUAAAACAGCAUACUAUCGGAUAACACAUAUGGGGUUAGCUAGUAGGUGAGGUAAUGGUACACCUAGGCGACGAUCCCUAGCUGGUCUGAGAGGAUGAUCAGCCACACUGUGACUGAGACACGGCCCAGACUCCUACGGAGGCAGCAGUGGGGAAUAUUGCACAAUGGGCGCAAGCCUGAUGCAGCCAUGCCGCGUGUAUGAAGAAGGCCCUAGGGUUGUAAAGUACUUUCAGUCGGGAGGCGUUACCGACAGAAGAAGCACCGGCUAACUCCGUGCCAGCAGCCGCGGUAAUUC
RNAcentral lists this ribosomal RNA (403 nucleotides) under uncultured bacterium. RNAcentral's name for it is "partial 16S ribosomal RNA". It matches the Rfam family "Bacterial small subunit ribosomal RNA", at positions 30 to 526 of the family's 1533-position model. The record is from RNAcentral.